UGAGUGUAUGAGUGUAAGUGUGUGUGUGUGUGUAUGUUUGUCUGUGUGUGUGUGUGUGUGUGUGUUGAGUUGGAGGUUUCCCUGGCACAGAAUCAAGCUCCAGUCUGUCAUGACUCAUGUGGGGGAUUGCCAGAGGACCCCAGGGCCAAGGAUGAUGCAGUCUAUGCACAGGUGACAAAACAGGAUUCUCUGAAGGGCAAGCGGAAGGUGAGAGCUGUGAGUGGUGACCAGCCAUGUCUCAUGGCACCCAGCCCUGGGCUGCUUGCCCAAAGCCAGGAUAUUGGUGACAAACAUCUGGAAGGAAAGUGGCCCUGCAACAGUGUUUACAGUGUGGACCAGAGACCAGGCCAGGCCAGGCCUUGAAGAUGACUUAUUUGGAGGAGGGAGGAGAACCCAGCACUAGGGAGACACCUGCACUCUGCACCUGACACCUGCAGAUACCUACCUCCUCUGACUUCAGUUCAGCUCGAGAUGCAGCUGGUCUGCAUGAACCUGAAUUUUUUUAAUAUUUAUUUUUUAG
RNAcentral lists this long non-coding RNA (520 nucleotides) under Ictidomys tridecemlineatus (thirteen-lined ground squirrel). RNAcentral describes it as "lncRNA (ENSSTOG00000034268.1)". The record is from RNAcentral. Lineage: Eukaryota; Metazoa; Chordata; Mammalia; Rodentia; Sciuridae.